UACGUAGGGUGCGAGCGUUGUCCGGAAUUAUUGGGCGUAAAGGGCUCGUAGGCGGUUUGUCACGUCGGGAGUGAAAACUCAGGGCUUAACCCUGAGCCUGCUUCCGAUACGGGCAGACUAGAGGUAUGCAGGGGAGAAUGGAAUUCCUGGUGUAGCGGUGAAAUGCGCAGAUAUCAGGAGGAACACCGGUGGCGAAGGCGGCCUACUGGGCCAGCACUGACGCUGAGGCGCGAAAGCUCGGGGAGCGAACGGG
This 253-nucleotide ribosomal RNA is filed under the name uncultured bacterium. Its description in RNAcentral is "partial 16S ribosomal RNA". It matches the Rfam family "Bacterial small subunit ribosomal RNA", at positions 524 to 776 of the family's 1533-position model. The record is from RNAcentral.